Molecule: ribosomal RNA, 468 nt
Filed under: uncultured bacterium
Lineage: Bacteria
Description: partial 16S ribosomal RNA
Rfam family: Bacterial small subunit ribosomal RNA
Source: RNAcentral
GACGAACGCUGGCGGCGUGCUUAACACAUGCAAGUCGAACGGAAAGGCCCUGCUUUUGUGGGGUGCUCGAGUGGCGAACGGGUGAGUAACACGUGAGUAACCUGCCCUUGACUUUGGGAUAACUUCAGGAAACUGGGGCUAAUACCGGAUAGGAGCUCCUGCUUCAUGGUGGGGGUUGGAAAGUUUCGGCGGUUGGGGAUGGACUCGCGGCUUAUCGGCUUGUUGGUGGGGUAGUGGCUUACCAAGGCUUUGACGGGUAGCCGGGCUGAGAGGGUGACCGGCCACAUUGGGCCUGGGCUGAGGCCCAGACUACUACGGGAGGCAGCAGUGGGGAAUAUUGCACAAUGGGCGGAAGCCUGAUGCAGCAACGCCGCGUGCGGGAUGACGGCCUUCGGGUUGUAAACCGCUUUCGCCUGUGACGAAGCGUGAGUGACGGUACUGGGUAAAGAAGCACCGGCUAACUACGUG